GAAGCCAUGUCCGCCACUUCCA
RNAcentral lists this non-coding RNA (22 nucleotides) under Arabidopsis thaliana (thale cress). The record is from RNAcentral. Lineage: Eukaryota; Viridiplantae; Streptophyta; Magnoliopsida; Brassicales; Brassicaceae.